RNAcentral lists this ribosomal RNA (513 nucleotides) under Carnobacterium inhibens. RNAcentral's name for it is "bacterial SSU rRNA". It matches the Rfam family "Bacterial small subunit ribosomal RNA", at positions 97 to 596 of the family's 1533-position model. The record is from RNAcentral. Lineage: Bacteria; Bacillati; Bacillota; Bacilli; Lactobacillales; Carnobacteriaceae.
GGCGGACGGGUGAGUAACACGUGGGUAACCUGCCCAUAAGAGGGGGAUAACAUCCGGAAACGGAUGCUAAUACCGCAUAUUUCCAAUUGUCUCCUGACAGAUGGAAAAAAGGUGGCUUCGGCUACCGCUUAUGGAUGGACCCGCGGCGUAUUAGCUAGUUGGUGAGGUAAUGGCUCACCAAGGCGAUGAUACGUAGCCGACCUGAGAGGGUGAUCGGCCACACUGGGACUGAGACACGGCCCAGACUCCUACGGGAGGCAGCAGUAGGGAAUCUUCCGCAAUGGACGAAAGUCUGACGGAGCAAUGCCGCGUGAGUGAAGAAGGUUUUCGGAUCGUAAAACUCUGUUGUUAGAGAAGAACAAGGAUGAGAGUAACUGCUCAUCCCCUGACGGUAUCUAACCAGAAAGCCACGGCUAACUACGUGCCAGCAGCCGCGGUAAUACGUAGGUGGCAAGCGUUGUCCGGAUUUAUUGGGCGUAAAGCGAGCGCAGGCGGUUCUUUAAGUCUGAUGUG